This 253-nucleotide ribosomal RNA is filed under the name uncultured bacterium. RNAcentral describes it as "partial 16S ribosomal RNA". It matches the Rfam family "Bacterial small subunit ribosomal RNA", at positions 524 to 776 of the family's 1533-position model. The record is from RNAcentral.
UACGAAGGGGGCUAGCGUUGUUCGGAAUCAUUGGGCGUAAAGCGCGCGUAGGCUGCCAGAUAAGUCCGGUGUGAAAGUCAAAGGCUCAACCUUUGAAUGCCGCUGGAAACUGUCUGGCUAGAGUCCGGAAGGGGCGAGUGGAACUCCUGGUGUAGCGGUGAAAUGCGCAGAUAUCAGGAAGAACACCAAUGGCGAAGGCAGCUCGCUAGGACGGUACUGACGCUGAGGCGCGAAAGCGUGGGGAGCAAACAGG